This is a long non-coding RNA of Perca fluviatilis (European perch), 539 nucleotides long. RefSeq lists it as uncharacterized. NCBI's taxonomy places the organism in Eukaryota, Metazoa, Chordata, Actinopteri, Perciformes, Percidae. The record is from RefSeq and is a predicted model, not a curated record. The transcript has 3 exons.
GGCGGCAGCUGUCGACCGCUCCAGCUAGGGACCCCAAAUUUCCCUUUCCCUGAGCCCCAGCUCUGACUGGGGCAUCCCGAGGCGUUCCCAGGCCAGGUUGGAGAUUGGUUCCAAAGCCCCUAUGAUUGAACGAGGAAGAGGUAGAGUGACCCUGCCUGGAGGAAGCCCGGGGCCCCCGUCUGGAGCCAGGCCCAGAUGGAGGGCUCGUCGGUGAGCGUCUGGUGGCCGGGUUUGCCACGGAGAAGCAAGCAUGGGCCCAGCACCUGUGGGAGGAACCACUGGGCUGCCACACGGGUGGCAGUGAAGGUCAGGGGGCUUCGACUGACCAGACCCGGGUGGCAGAGGCUGCCUCUCUGGGGGGGGAAGGAGCCAGAACUUGUGCAGGAGGUGGAGUUCACCCCGAUUCUCCAACCCAUGUGUCUGUUAUGUUAUGCAUUAUCAUUUGCUCACCCUUAUGUUAAAUAAAUCUUUGUUGAAUGAACUGAACUCUGUGGCUCACUCCUGCAUUCUGACCGAUGGCAAUCAUCUCUAAAACUGAC